CCUACGGGUGGCAGCAGUGAGGAAUAUUGGACAAUGGACGAAAGUCUGAACCAGCCAUGCCGCGUGCAGGAAGACGGCUCUAUGAGUUGUAAACUGCUUUUGUACGAGGGUAAACGCAGAUACGAGUAUCUGUCUGAAAGUAUCGUACGAAUAAGGAUCGGCUAACUCCGUGCCAGCAGCCGCGGUAAUACGGAGGAGUCAAGCGUUAUCCGGAUUGAUUGGGUUUAAAGGGUGCGUAGGCUGUCGGAUAAGUUAGAGGUGAAAUCCCGAGGCUCAACUUCGGAAUUGCCUCUGAUACUGUUCGGCUAGAGAGUAGUUGCGGUAGGCGGAAUGUAUGGUGUAGCGGUGAAAUGCUUAGAGAUCAUACAGAACACUGAUGGCGAAGGCAGCUUACCAAGCUACUUCUGACGUUGAGGCACGAAGGCGUGGGGAGCAAACAGGAUUAGAUACCCGGGUAGUC
Molecule: ribosomal RNA, 460 nt
Filed under: uncultured bacterium
Lineage: Bacteria
Description: partial 16S ribosomal RNA
Rfam family: Bacterial small subunit ribosomal RNA
Source: RNAcentral